RNAcentral lists this long non-coding RNA (1145 nucleotides) under Ananas comosus (pineapple). Its description in RNAcentral is "long non-coding RNA (ACOM_LNC020156)". The record is from RNAcentral. Lineage: Eukaryota; Viridiplantae; Streptophyta; Magnoliopsida; Poales; Bromeliaceae.
GUACCAGGAAUGGAGAUGUAUGGAGUUGGCCACUAAUGGAAGACCGUCGCUAGAAUAAAGGAAGUCAUCAACAGGCGGGUUUGCAGUAAAGGAGGGACCCAAGAUGAAUCUAGUAGAGUCCGUUUCAAGAUAUGAUUUAAGUAAAGUAUAAUCCAGCGAAGGAUGAGUAGGUAAAGGCGAAAGCGGCGCCAUUACUUGAAGCAAAAGGAAAUUAAGGGAGAAAAGAAUGAGCAGAAGCUACGAACAAAGGAUGGAGAACAGAGAAGACGAAGAAGAAAUAAAGAGAAGCAAAUGAGAGGUUUCAUCGGAGAAGACAAGGAAGAAACAAAAAGGGAACAGAAAAAACAAAAGGAAUGAAAAGCUUGGUGAAGAAGAAAAGGCCGUCGCGUCGAACCGUCGCAUCGAAACGAGUUCUGAGAGCAGCUAUAAUGAUGAAUAGACGGCGGUAAUGUGAGACCCUAGAUAGUCCUAUAUAUGAGUUAUAAUAGGGCUAAACUCUUAACUGGGCUUAAGCAUUUUGGGUGGUGUCAAGGCCCAAGAGGUUAAGAGAGUUAAGCGUGUUAGGAUGGGAGUAGUCCUAGGAUAGGUGACCCCCUAGGAAGUUGGGGCGUCACAGAUGGUAUCAGAGCCAAUUACCAGCCGGAAGUGUGAGAUGAGUCUCGGCUGAGCCAGGGUCUGGAUGACGGGCUAGCGAGAUGAGUCUCACAUCGCCUGGUACUUGUGAGUCUGAGCCUGACGAGGACGUCAGGGCUUAAAGGAGGGGAGAUUGUGAGACCCCAGAUAGUCCUAUAUAUGAGAUAUAAUAGGGCUAAACUCUUAACCCGGCUUAAGCAUUUUGGGUGGUGGCAAGGCCCAAGAGGUUAAGAGAGUUAAGCGUGCUAGGACGGGAGUAGUCCUAGGAUGGGUGACCCCCUGGGAAGUUGGGGCGUCACAGAUGGUAUCAGAGCCAAUUACCAGCCGGAAGUGUGAGAUGAGUCUCGGCUGAGCCAGGGUCUGGAUGACGGGCUAGCGAGACGAGUCUCACAUCGCCUGGUACUUUGUGAGUCUGAGCCUGACGAGGACGUCAGGGCUUAAAGGAGGGGAGAUUGUGAGACCCCAGAUAGUCCUAUAUAUGAGUUAUAAUAGGGCUAAACUCUUAACUGGGC